RNAcentral lists this ribosomal RNA (234 nucleotides) under uncultured Lactobacillus sp. Its description in RNAcentral is "partial 16S ribosomal RNA". It matches the Rfam family "Bacterial small subunit ribosomal RNA", at positions 128 to 354 of the family's 1533-position model. Lineage: Bacteria; Bacillati; Bacillota; Bacilli; Lactobacillales; Lactobacillaceae. The record is from RNAcentral.
GCCCAAGAGAUCGGGAUAACACCUGGAAACAGAUGCUAAUACCGGAUAACAACAGAUGAUGCCUAUCAACUGUUUAAAAGAUGGUUCUGCUAUCACUCUUGGAUGGACCUGCGGUGCAUUAGCUAGUUGGUAGGGUAACGGCCUACCAAGGCGAUGAUGCAUAGCCGAGUUGAGAGACUGAUCGGCCACAUUGGAACUGAGACACGGUCCAUACUCCUACGGGAGGCAGCAGAU